CCUACGGGUGGCAGCAGUGAGGAAUAUUGGUCAAUGGACGAGAGUCUGAACCAGCCAAGUAGCGUGAAGGAUGACUGCCCUAUGGGUUGUAAACUUCUUUUAUAUGGGAAUAAAAUGUUCCACGUGUGGGAUUUUGUAUGUACCAUAUGAAUAAGGAUCGGCUAACUCCGUGCCAGCAGCCGCGGUAAUACGGAGGAUCCGAGCGUUAUCCGGAUUUAUUGGGUUGAAAGGGUGUGUAGGUGGGUUGUUAAGUCAGUUGUGAAAGGUUGGGGCUCAACCGUAAAAUUGCAGUUGAAACUGGAAGUCUUGAGUACAGUAGAGGUGGGCGGAAUUCGUGGUGUAGCGGUGAAAUGCUUGGAUAGCACGAAGAACUCCGAUUGCGAAGGCAGCUCACUGGACUGCAACUGACACUGAGGCUCGAAAGUGUGGGUAUCAAACAGGAUUAGAUACCCUUGUAGUC
This 460-nucleotide ribosomal RNA is filed under the name uncultured bacterium. Its description in RNAcentral is "partial 16S ribosomal RNA". It matches the Rfam family "Bacterial small subunit ribosomal RNA", at positions 338 to 795 of the family's 1533-position model. The record is from RNAcentral.